RNAcentral lists this ribosomal RNA (1344 nucleotides) under uncultured bacterium. Its description in RNAcentral is "16S ribosomal RNA". It matches the Rfam family "Bacterial small subunit ribosomal RNA", at positions 27 to 1378 of the family's 1533-position model. The record is from RNAcentral.
GGACGAACGCUGGCGGCGUGCUUAACACAUGCAAGUCGAACGGAAAGGCCCUGCUUUUGUGGGGUGCUCGAGUGGCGAACGGGUGAGUAACACGUGAGUAACCUGCCCUUGACUUUGGGAUAACUUCAGGAAACUGGGGCUAAUACCGGAUAGGAGCUCCUGCUGCAUGGUGGGGGUUGGAAAGUUUCGGCGGUUGGGGAUGGACUCGCGGCUUAUCAGCUUGUUGGUGGGGUAGUGGCUUACCAAGGCUUUGACGGGUAGCCGGCCUGAGAGGGUGACCGGCCACAUUGGGACUGAGAUACGGCCCAGACUCCUACGGGAGGCAGCAGUGGGGAAUAUUGCACAAUGGGCGGAAGCCUGAUGCAGCAACGCCGCGUGCGGGAUGACGGCCUUCGGGUUGUAAACCGCUUUCGCCUGUGACGAAGCGUGAGUGACGGUAAUGGGUAAAGAAGCACCGGCUAACUACGUGCCAGCAGCCGCGGUGAUACGUAGGGUGCGAGCGUUGUCCGGAUUUAUUGGGCGUAAAGGGCUCGUAGGUGGUUGAUCGCGUCGGAAGUGUAAUCUUGGGGCUUAACCCUGAGCGUGCUUUCGAUACGGGUUGACUUGAGGAAGGUAGGGGAGAAUGGAAUUCCUGGUGGAGCGGUGGAAUGCGCAGAUAUCAGGAGGAACACCAGUGGCGAAGGCGGUUCUCUGGGCCUUUCCUGACGCUGAGGAGCGAAAGCGUGGGGAGCGAACAGGCUUAGAUACCCUGGUAGUCCACGCUGUAAACGGUGGGUACUAGGUGUGGGGUCCAUUCCACGGGUUCCGUGCCGUAGCUAACGCUUUAAGUACCCCGCCUGGGGAGUACGGCCGCAAGGCUAAAACUCAAAGGAAUUGACGGGGCCCCGCACAAGCGGCGGAGCAUGCGGAUUAAUUCGAUGCAACGCGUAGAACCUUACCUGGGUUUGACAUGGAUCGGGAGCGCUCAGAGAUGGGUGUGCCUCUUUUGGGGUCGGUUCACAGGUGGUGCAUGGCUGUCGUCAGCUCGUGUCGUGAGAUGUUGGGUUAAGUCCCGCAACGAGCGCAACCCUUGUUCACUGUUGCCAGCACGUUAUGGUGGGGACUCAGUGGAGACCGCCGGGGUCAACUCGGAGGAAGGUGGGGAUGACGUCAAGUCAUCAUGCCCCUUAUGUCCAGGGCUUCACGCAUGCUACAAUGGCUGGUACAGAGAGUGGCGAGCCUGUGAGGGUGAGCGAAUCUCGGAAAGCCGGUCUCAGUUCGGAUUGGGGUCUGCAACUCGACCUCAUGAAGUCGGAGUCGCUAGUAAUCGCAGAUCAGCAACGCUGCGGUGAAUACGUUCCCGGG